UGGGGAAUAUUGGACAAUGGGCGCAAGCCUGAUCCAGCCAUGCCGCGUGAGUGAUGAAGGCCUUAGGGUUGUAAAGCUCUUUUAGCAGGGAGGAUAAUGACGGUACCUGCAGAAAAAGCCCCGGCUAACUUCGUGCCAGCAGCCGCGGUAAUACGAAGGGGGCUAGCGUUGCUCGGAAUUACUGGGCGUAAAGCGCACGUAGGCGGACUCUUAAGUCGGUGGUGAAAUCCUGGAGCUCAACUCCAGAACUGCCUUCGAUACUGGGAGUCUUGAGUUCGGGAGAGGUGAGUGGAACUGCGAGUGUAGAGGUGAAAUUCGUAGAUAUUCGCAAGAACACCAGUGGCGAAGGCGGCUCACUGGCCCGAUACUGACGCUGAGGUGCGAAAGCGUGGGGAGCAAACA
Molecule: ribosomal RNA, 402 nt
Filed under: uncultured bacterium
Lineage: Bacteria
Description: bacterial SSU rRNA
Rfam family: Bacterial small subunit ribosomal RNA
Source: RNAcentral